CCUACGGGCGGCAGCAGUGAGGAAUAUUGGUCAAUGGACGAGAGUCUGAACCAGCCAAGUAGCGUGAAGGAUGACUGCCCUAUGGGUUGUAAACUUCUUUUAUAUGGGAAUAAAAUGUUCCACGUGUGGGAUUUUGUAUGUACCAUAUGAAUACGGAUCGGCUAACUCCGUGCCAGCAGCCGCGGUAAUACGGAGGAUCCGAGCGUUAUCCGGAUUGAUUGGGUUUAAAGGGAGCGUAGGUGGCUUGUUAAGUCAGUUGUGAAGGUUUGCGGCUCAACCGUAAAAUUGCAGUUGAAACUGGCAGUCUUGAGUACAGUAGAGGUGGGCGGAAUUCGUGGUGUAGCGGUGAAAUGCUUAGAUAUCACGAAGAACUCCGAUUGCGAAGGCAGCUCACUGGACUGCAACUGACACUGAGGCUCGAAAGUGUGGGUAUCAAACAGGAUUAGAUACCCGGGUAGUC
This 460-nucleotide ribosomal RNA is filed under the name uncultured bacterium. RNAcentral describes it as "partial 16S ribosomal RNA". It matches the Rfam family "Bacterial small subunit ribosomal RNA", at positions 338 to 795 of the family's 1533-position model. The record is from RNAcentral.